RNAcentral lists this ribosomal RNA (1475 nucleotides) under metagenome. RNAcentral describes it as "bacterial SSU rRNA". It matches the Rfam family "Bacterial small subunit ribosomal RNA". The record is from RNAcentral.
GGCAUGCAAGUCGAACGGAAUUCGGAUGAUGGUAACAUUUUCCGAAUUUAGUGGCGAAAGGGUGAGUAACACGUGGGCAAUCUGCCUUAAACCUGGGGAUAACCAGCCGAAAGGCUGGCUAAUACCGAAUGUGGUGUUGUGAAGGCAUCUUUGCGACAUUAAAGAUGGGGACCUUCGGGCCUGUCGGUUUAAGACGAACCCGCGUCCUAUUAGCUUGUUGGUGAGGUAACGGCCCACCAAGGCUAUGAUGGGUAGCCGGACUGAGAGGUUGACCGGCCACACUGGGACUGAGACACUGCCCAGACUCCUACGGGAGGCUGCAGUCGAGAAUCUUUCGCAAUGGGCGCAAGCCUGACGAAGCGACGCCGCGUGGGUGAUGAAGGCCUUCGGGUCGUAAAACCCUGUCACGAGGGAAGAAAUGCAUGGGGGUUAACAGCGCCCGUGUUUGACGGUACCUCGAGAGGAAGCUCCGGCUAACUCCGUGCCAGCAGCCGCGGUAAUACGGAGGGAGCAAGCGUUGUUCGGAUUUAUUGGGCGUAAAGGGUGUCUAGGCGGUGAGGUCAGUCGAAUGUGAAAGCCCUCGGCUUAACCGAGGAACUGCAUUCGAAACUACCUCACUUGAGUACGGCAGACGUAAACGGAAUUCUCAGUGUAGCGGUGGAAUGCGUAGAUAUUGAGAAGAACACCAGUGGCAAAGGCGGUUUACGAGGCUGAUACUGACGCUGAAGCACGAAAGCCAGGGGAGCGAACGGGAUUAGAUACCCCGGUAGUCCUGGCCGUAAACGAUGUGCACUAGGUGUAGGAGGUAUCGACCCCUUCUGUGCCAAAGUUAACGCAUUAAGUGCACCGCCUGGGGAGUACGACCGCAAGGUUGAAACUCAAAGGAAUUGACGGGGGCCCGCACAAGCGGUGGAGCAUGUGGUUUAAUUCGAUGCAACGCGAAGAACCUUACCAGGGCUUGACAUGUACUUGACGGUCAGUGAAAGCUGGCUUUCCUUCGGGACAAGUGCACAGGUGCUGCAUGGCUGUCGUCAGCUCGUGUCGUGAGAUGUUGGGUUAAGUCCCGCAACGAGCGCAACCCUUGUCGUUAGUUGCCAGCAUUUAAGGUGGGAACUCUAACGAGACUGCCGGUGAUAAACCGGAGGAAGGGGGAUGACGUCAAGUCAGUAUGGCCCUUACGCCCUGGGCUACACACGUGCUACAAUGGUCGGUACAGAGGGUUGCCAAACCGUGAGGUGGAGCCAAUCCCAGAAAACCGGCCCCAGUUCGGAUUGAAGUCUGCAACUCGACUUCAUGAAGUUGGAAUCGCUAGUAAUGGCGUAUCAGCUACGACGCCGUGAAUACGUUCCCGGGCCUUGUACACACCGCCCGUCACAUCACGAAAGUUUACUGUACCAGAAGUCGCUGAGUUAACCCGCAAGGGAGGCAGGCGCCGAAGGUAUGGUCGAUAAUUGGGAUGAAGUCGUAACAAGGUA